UUUCCGUAGGUGAACCUGCGGAAGGAUCAUUAUUGUAUAACCGAGGUGCGAGGGCUGUCGCUGAACCGAAAGGUCGUGCACGCCCGAGUGCCCUCACACACAUCCAUCUCACCCCUAUUUGCACCACCGCGUGGGUCCCCCUUUGGCUUGUUCGGAGGGGGGCUUACGUUUUCACACAAACUUUGUAUGCAGUGUAGAAUGUAUUUUUUGUUUUUGCGAUCACGCAAUCAAUACAACUUUCAACAACGGAUCUCUUGGCUCUC
This 263-nucleotide unclassified non-coding RNA is filed under the name plant metagenome. RNAcentral describes it as "partial contains small subunit ribosomal RNA, internal transcribed spacer 1, and 5.8S ribosomal RNA". The record is from RNAcentral.